GAUGAACGCUGGCGGCGUGCCUAAUACAUGCAAGUCGAGCGAACGGACGAGAAGCUUGCUUCUCUGAUGUUAGCGGCGGACGGGUGAGUAACACGUGGAUAACCUACCUAUAAGACUGGGAUAACUUCGGGAAACCGGAGCUAAUACCGGAUAAUAUUUUGAACCGCAUGGUUCAAAAGUGAAAGACGGUCUUGCUGUCACUUAUAGAUGGAUCCGCGCUGCAUUAGCUAGUUGGUAAGGUAACGGCUUACCAAGGCAACGAUGCAUAGCCGACCUGAGAGGGUGAUCGGCCACACUGGAACUGAGACACGGUCCAGACUCCUACGGGAGGCAGCAGUAGGGAAUCUUCCGCAAUGGGCGAAAGCCUGACGUAGCAACGCCGCGUGAGUGAUGAAGGUCUUCGGCUCCUAAAACUCUGUUAUUAGGGAAGAACAUAUGUGUAAGUAACUGUGCACAUCUUGACGGUACCUAAUCAGAAAGCCACGGCUAACUACGUG
This 497-nucleotide ribosomal RNA is filed under the name uncultured bacterium. RNAcentral's name for it is "partial 16S ribosomal RNA". It matches the Rfam family "Bacterial small subunit ribosomal RNA", at positions 28 to 507 of the family's 1533-position model. The record is from RNAcentral.